AGAGUUUGAUCAUGGCUCAGGACGAACGCUGGCGGCGUGCUUAACACAUGCAAGUCGAACGGUGAAGCUUCGGGGUGGAUCAGUGGCGAACGGGUGAGUAACACGUGGGCAAUCUGCCUGCACUCUGGGACAAGCCCUGGAAACGGGGUCUAAUACCGGAUACGACCUGCCUCCGCAUGGGGGUGGGUGGAAAGCUCCGG
Molecule: ribosomal RNA, 200 nt
Filed under: uncultured bacterium
Lineage: Bacteria
Description: partial 16S ribosomal RNA
Rfam family: Bacterial small subunit ribosomal RNA
Source: RNAcentral